UAGGGAAUAAAUGACUGAAUGAAGGUUUGCAAAAUCCUGCUCUACACUGACACAGAUAUUUCAGCUAUUCAUGGGAUUGUUUUGGGGAUCUCUUCAUCAUUGUAAGAAAAACUCCUAGCUGCCUCAACACAAAUGAAUCAGGAUUCUUGGAUAAUCUUCAACAUUGAAGAUGACAAGAAACUUUUGCAAGUUCCAGAGGACGUUUCACAAGAGGCAAAUGCAUCUCCAUUUGUUCCAUAAAGUAUGUGCAACGCUGCUGAGGCACAGGGUGCCCAACAAAGACCUUUGCCAGCCCAGUCCCUGCUUUUCAACCUCAGCAUCUUUGAAGACAUUUCUCAGGCUCUUGGGAUAUCAGCAAAAUCACCACUGACUUGAUUUUCAGUUCUUCAGUAAAAAUGUCCAUUAUACAAGAGGAGAAAAAAUACAUUGAAGUUGUCCCCUUUAAAAGUGGUAGUUUCUUUUGGUUUUGUGCGGGUUUUGUUUUUUUUUAGAAUGAAAAUAAACCCAAGACAAUUGGCUUCAAAACACAUUCCUAAUGCUUAAACCAUUCUCUGAAAUAUACAAGUACUUAGGCUGAGGAGGAAACGGACAUUAGAUGAAGAGAUUAUUAAAAAAUGUAUGAUUAUUUAAGGUCAGCUGUUAUUGUAGCAGAAUUUAGGCAUACAACCAUCUGAAAGUUUUAUCAGCUAUGACAAUAUUUGAACUUAUUCAUGAUCAGUGCUCACAGCCAACCAUUAGUUUACUUAGGUAUCCAAUAAUUAUAAAUGUCAAACAAAACUGUUUUCUACCUAGCAUGGCCUGAUAAGGAAGUGCUGUUUACUUACACCAUUCAAAGAAGGUUGGAUCACUUGACUUAUUUUAGAUCAUACUUUAGUGUACCAGACUGAAAGCCUGGACAGGAGAAUCACCCAUUGGGUGAAACUUGGUCCCAGUAUUGAUGGCAGUACCUGCCUUUGAAGAUCUGUUUGAAGUGUGAAAGGUUAGGCCCUUACAGAGGGCAGAAAUGCAGAAAAGCUGUAAUUGUGUGACUCAGUCCAGCACUUCCAGCUGAGAUGAGCUUAUCUGACACCCUUGCAGUGACAAUGUACUCAUUUCUGAAACUGAGACUACAAGAGAUCUGCUCUCUGGACUGACAUGAUCCUGUAUAACUACUCUUUCAAAUGUUCUAUGAACCUUGCAGAUCAGGACUCAGCUAAGCAAUGUUUUCUUUAUUUUUUUCUGUCACCUGACUUCCUGCAAAUGAUAAUGCUGAUUUUUUUAUUGUUUGUGUUGUGUAUUGUGGUAUUUCACGGGGAGGGUUGAUUUGUGGUUUGCUGUCAGUUUUGUGGGGGAAGUUGUAUUUAUUUAUUUGUUUGUUUGUUUUGUUUAAGAAUACUGCACAUUUCCACAACUUCAUAAGAAUUGUCUUUCUAUGUGUAUGGAAAUGUGCACGGUGUUCACCAGCAUCCACAGGCAUUUAUACUGUGGUACCCUUUGGAAUGACACUAUGAAAGGAUUUCUGAAAUCCAUCUGAUACCACGUGCAUGGUCUAUGCUGAAAAAACAAGCAAGAGGGUGACCCUCCUGAAGAGCUUUAAUACAGCUGUGCAUCCCCAGAAAAAGGUAGCUGGGAUGUUUUUUCCUCUAGUAGAAGAAAACAUUCUACUAUUAUUUUGUUUUAUUUAAAGUGAAGGAUUAGAUCAAUUUGGCAGUAUUUUCUGUGUGUUGUGGUAACAACUUAAAAAAUUCAGGCUGUAAAAUAUCAUUAAAAUUUGGAUUAAUCAGGAUUAACACACAUUGGGGGGUAGGGAAUGCAUUAUUAAGUCUCCUUGUCACCUUCACAGAUUUCAGGGCUUUGUUUCACGUGAAAAUAAGUACCUCAUGGAUUCCUGUAAGUUUCAAUAAAUACAUUAUUAUUGAUCCAAUAUAGACAUCCUUUUUGCAAAAACAACAUUGAAAAUAAGCUUAUAUUUACCAAAGCAGUACAUCCUUGGGUUAUUUUGGGUUUGUUUUUAAUUUGCUUGUCCCCUGACCCUCUUGCUUAUUUCCUCUGGCAAUAGCUAUUCCUAGACUCUAAAUGUGCUUCGAACACAGAGGAA
Molecule: long non-coding RNA, 2077 nt
Organism: Passer domesticus (house sparrow)
Lineage: Eukaryota; Metazoa; Chordata; Aves; Passeriformes; Passeridae
Exons: 4
Source: RefSeq, a predicted model, not a curated record